Molecule: ribosomal RNA, 505 nt
Filed under: uncultured bacterium
Lineage: Bacteria
Description: partial 16S ribosomal RNA
Rfam family: Bacterial small subunit ribosomal RNA (bases 21-334)
Source: RNAcentral
GACGAACGCUGGCGGCGCGCCUAACACAUGCAAGUCGAACGAGCGAGAGAGAGCUUGCUUUCUCAAGCGAGUGGCGAACGGGUGAGUAACGCGUGAGGAACCUGCCUCAAAGAGGGGGACAACAGUUGGAAACGACUGCUAAUACCGCAUAAGCCCACGACCCGGCAUCGGGUAGAGGGAAAAGGAGCAAUCCGCUUUGAGAUGGCCUCGCGUCCGAUUAGCUAGUUGGUGAGGUAACGGCCCACCAAGGCGACGAUCGGUAGCCGGACUGCGGGGUUGAACAGCGACGUGGGGACACGGCCACGACCCACGCGCCGAGGGGAGACAGCAGUGGAGAUGAGACCAGGGGGGGGAACAGCAUGGGGGGGGGCCGGGACGGGGAGGAAGUAGGUGUUAGGUUUUAAAAUUCCGGUGUGGGAUGAUGAGAAGCACGGUACAAAAAGAGGAAGUGCGGGCUAACGGCGGGCCUGACGCCGAGUAAAAAGGGAAGAGCGCCCGCUUCACC